AGUGAGGGCUCUAGGCUGAUCUGUGCAUGAGGGCUCUCUCGCCUUCAUUUUGAGCCUUUUGUGCUCACUUUGUGUAAGUCGGUGUUUCUGCAGACUUUACCUGAGGCAAUUCCCCACAGUUCAUUGAGUUGUGUCAUGAAACACGGGAUUACCUGGGGAGGCUGGAGGUGUAAAACACAUAAAUGCCAUAACACGGAGAGAACGAUAAAGACGACAAACGUUUCCUGAUUAACACGUUCCUGUCUGAAUAUUUAACCUGAAACUCUUUCUCAGGGUUUAGGCUUUAACAAACACCAUUUCCCAUGGUCCAACGGUGUAGCAGGCUAAAGUUCAGCAGCAGAGGGACCAAGGGACUGAACAUUUUUUUAUUUUCCAGCUUGAACCGGUGCGAUUUAAAGGGUCAGUUCACCCAA
Molecule: long non-coding RNA, 413 nt
Organism: Monopterus albus (swamp eel)
Lineage: Eukaryota; Metazoa; Chordata; Actinopteri; Synbranchiformes; Synbranchidae
Exons: 3
Source: RefSeq, a predicted model, not a curated record